RNAcentral lists this ribosomal RNA (417 nucleotides) under uncultured Blautia sp. Its description in RNAcentral is "bacterial SSU rRNA". It matches the Rfam family "Bacterial small subunit ribosomal RNA", at positions 505 to 922 of the family's 1533-position model. The record is from RNAcentral. Lineage: Bacteria; Bacillati; Bacillota; Clostridia; Lachnospirales; Lachnospiraceae.
GUGCCAGCCGCCGCGGUAAUACGUAGGGGGCAAGCGUUAUCCGGAUUUACUGGGUGUAAAGGGAGCGUAGACGGCGAUGCAAGUCUGGAGUGAAAGCCCGGGGCUCAACCCCGGGACUGCUUUGGAAACUGUGUUGCUAGAGUGCAGGAGAGGUAAGUGGAAUUCCAUGUGUAGCGGUGAAAUGCGUAGAUAUAUGGAGGAACACCGGUGGCGAAAGCGGCUCUCUGGCCUGUAACUGACACUGAGGCUCGAAAGCGUGGGGAGCAAACAGGAUUAGAUACCCUGGUAGUCCACGCCGUAAACGAUGAGUGCUAGAUGUAGGGAGCUAUAAGUUCUCUGUAUCGCAGCUAACGCAAUAAGCACUCCGCCUGGGAGUACGACCGCAAGGUUGAAACUCAAAGGAAUUGACGGGGCCCG